Molecule: non-coding RNA, 78 nt
Organism: Lupinus angustifolius (narrow-leaved blue lupine)
Lineage: Eukaryota; Viridiplantae; Streptophyta; Magnoliopsida; Fabales; Fabaceae
Source: Rfam
UAGGCAUGAUGAUGAUUCUUUUGAUUUUUUUCAUAUGAUUAGCCAUGUGAUGAAAUAUAAUCCUCCUACUCAUUCUGA